RNAcentral lists this ribosomal RNA (383 nucleotides) under uncultured Cyclotella. Its description in RNAcentral is "partial small subunit ribosomal RNA". It matches the Rfam family "Eukaryotic small subunit ribosomal RNA", at positions 587 to 972 of the family's 1831-position model. The record is from RNAcentral. Lineage: Eukaryota; Bacillariophyta; Thalassiosirophyceae; Thalassiosirales; Thalassiosiraceae. RNAcentral also lists the same sequence under 1 other name.
AGCUCCAAUAGCGUAUAUUAAAGUUGUUGCAGUUAAAAAGCUCGUAGUUGGAUUUCUGGCAGGAGCGUCCGGUCUCACACUCAGUGCGGGAACUUGGAUGUCUCUGGCCAUCUUUGGGGAUAUCCUGUUUGGCAUUAAGUUGUCGGGCAGGGGAUACCCAUCGUUUACUGUGAAAAAAUUAGAGUGUUUAAAGCAGGCUUAUGCCGUUGAAUAUAUUAGCAUGGAAUAAUAAGAUAGGACGUAGGUACUAUUUUGUUGGUUUGCGCACCCACGUAAUGAUUAAUAGAGACAGGCGGGGCUAUUCGUAUUGCAUUGUCAGAGGUGAAAUUCUUGGAUUUCUGCAAGACGAACUACUGCGAAAGCAUUUAGCAAGGAUGUUUUCA